Molecule: ribosomal RNA, 1148 nt
Filed under: uncultured organism
Description: bacterial SSU rRNA
Rfam family: Bacterial small subunit ribosomal RNA
Source: RNAcentral
UGCAAGUCGUACGCGAAAGUUGCCUUCGGGUGGCGAGUAGAGUGGCGAAAGGGUGAGUAAUGCAUGGUUACAUACCCUGGAGACCGGGAUACUUGCUGAAAGGCGGGUAAUACCGGAUGGUUCCCACGGGAAUAAACGGCGGGGCUCCUUCGGGACCUGCUGCUCCAGGAGUGGACCAUGUCCCAUCAGUUAGUUGGUGAGGUAAGAGCUCACCAAUGCAAUGACGGGUAGCUGGUCUGAGAGGAUGGUCAGCCACACUGGGACUGAGACACUGCCCAGACUUCUACGGGAGGCUGCAGUCGAGAAUCAUCCGCAAUGGGCGCAAGCCUGACGGUGCGACGCCGCGUGAAGGAUGAAGGCCUUCGGGUUGUAAACUUCUAACACGGGUUAAGAAACGCCUGGCAUUAAUAGUGUCGGGUUUGACGUAACCCCGAGAUGAAGCACUGGCUAACUCCGUGCCAGCAGCCGCGGUAAUACGGAGAGUGCAAGCGUUACUCGGAAUCACUGGGCUUAAAGGACACGUAGGCGGCCUCGUAAGUCAGUUGUGAAAGCUCUCGGCUCAACCGAGGAACUGCAGCUGAUACUGCGAAGCUAGAGGACGGUAGGGGAGAGCGGAACUCUUGGUGGAGCGGUGAAAUGCGUAGAUAUCAAGAGGAACACCGGUGGCGAAGGCGGCUCUCUGGUCCGUUACUGACGCUGAGGUGUGAAAGCCAGGGUAGCGAACGGGAUUAGAUACCCCGGUAGUCCUGGCCCUAAACGAUGAGCACUAAGUAGUGGAAGCCCUGCGUUUUCACUGCUGUAGCGAAAAGCGUUAAGUGCUCCGACUGGGGAGUACGGUCGCAAGGCUGAAAACUCAAACGAAUUGACCGGGGCUCACACAAGCGGUGGAGCAUGUGUUUAUAUUCGGGGCAACGCGAAGAACCUUACCCGGGUUUGACCUGCCAGGAUUAGCUUCACUGAAAGGGAAGUGACGCCUUUCAGGGGUGGAACUUGCCCAGGUGCUUGCACCGUUGUCGUCAGCUCGUGCCGUGAGGUGUUGGUUAAGUUCCCGUAACGAGCGAAACCCUUGUCGUUAGUUGCCAGCGGGUAAAGCCGGGGACUCUAACGAGACUGCCGUUGUUAAGACGGAGGAAGGUGGGGACGACGUC